Molecule: long non-coding RNA, 356 nt
Filed under: Durio zibethinus
Lineage: Eukaryota; Viridiplantae; Streptophyta; Magnoliopsida; Malvales; Malvaceae
Description: long non-coding RNA (DZIB_LNC000825)
Source: RNAcentral
AAAAUGAUUUUUAUUGAAUUUUUUCAAUAGAAGCUUUUUCAAAAUCACUCGGUAGUGAUAUCCGAGUAUCAUUAUUUGAAUUUCAUUAAAAUUUUUUGUGGAAGCUUUAGUAGAAUUCACUUGGUGGUGAUAUUUGAGUUCUUUUUUAUAGUGAUAUUUGAAGUUAUUUACAUUUACUUAUAGGGAUAUUCGAGUAUUUUUCGGCAGUGAUAUCCAAAGUCAUUUGCAUUUUUUUGUGGGGAUAUACAAAUUUUUUUAGUGGUGAUAUCCAAAGUUACUUACGUUCACUUAAUGAUGAUAUCCAAGUACUCUUCGGUAGUAAAAUCUAAAGUCAUUUGCAUUUACAUGAUGAGGAU